GACGAACGCUGGCGGCGUGCUUAACACAUGCAAGUCGAACGGAAAGGCCCUGCUUUUGUGGGGUGCUCGAGUGGCGAACGGGUGAGUAACACGUGAGUAACCUGCCCUUGACUUUGAGAUAACUUCAGGAAACUGGGGCUAAUACCGGAUAGGAGCUCCUGCUGCAUGGUGGGGGUUGGAAAGUUUCGGCGGUUGGGGAUGGAUUCGCGGCUUAUCAGCUUGUUGGUGGGGUAGUGGCUUACCAAGGCUUUGACGGGUAGCCGGCCUGAGAGGGUGACCGGCCACAUUGGGACUGAGAUACGGCCCAGACUCCUACGGGAGGCAGCAGUGGGGAAUAUUGCACAAUGGGCGGAAGCCUGAUGCAGCAACGCCGCGUGCGGGAUGACGGCCUUCGGGUUGUAAACCGCUUUCGCCUGUGACGAAGCGUGAGUGACGGUAAUGGGUAAAGAAGCACCGGCUAACUACGUG
RNAcentral lists this ribosomal RNA (468 nucleotides) under uncultured bacterium. RNAcentral's name for it is "partial 16S ribosomal RNA". It matches the Rfam family "Bacterial small subunit ribosomal RNA", at positions 28 to 507 of the family's 1533-position model. The record is from RNAcentral.